GACGAACGCUGGCGGCGUGCUUAACACAUGCAUGUCGAACGGAAAGGCCCUGCUUUUGUGGGGUGCUCGAGUGGCGAACGGGUGAGUAACACGUGAGUAACCUGCCCUUGACUUUGGGAUAACUUCAGGAAACUGGGGCUAAUACCGGAUAGGAGCUCCUGCUGCAUGGUGGGGGUUGGAAAGUUUCGGCGGUUGGGGAUGGACUCGCGGCUUAUCAGCUUGUUGGUGGGGUAGUGGCUUACCAAGGCUUUGACGGGUAGCCGGCCUGAGAGGGUGACCGGCCACAUUGGGACUGAGAUACGGCCCAGACUCCUACGGGAGGCAGCAGUGGGGAAUAUUGCACAAUGGGCGGAAGCCUGAUGCGGCAACGCCGCGUGCGGGAUGACGGCCUUCGGGUUGUAAACCGCUUUCGCCUGUGACGAAGCGUGAGUGACGGUAAUGGGUAAAGAAGCACCGGCUAACUACGUG
This 468-nucleotide ribosomal RNA is filed under the name uncultured bacterium. Its description in RNAcentral is "partial 16S ribosomal RNA". It matches the Rfam family "Bacterial small subunit ribosomal RNA", at positions 28 to 507 of the family's 1533-position model. The record is from RNAcentral.